UACGUAGGGUGCAAGCGUUGUCCGGAAUUAUUGGGCGUAAAGAGCUCGUAGGCGGUCUGUCGCGUCGGCUGUGAAAUCCCGAGGCUCAACCUCGGGUCUGCAGUCGAUACGGGCAAACUAGAGUAUUGCAGGGGAGACUGGAAUUCCUGGUGUAGCGGUGAAAUGCGCAGAUAUCUGGAGGAACACCGGUGGCGAAGGCGGCAUCCUGGACCAAUUCUGACGCUGAGGAGCGAAAGCCAGGGGAGCAAACGGG
Molecule: ribosomal RNA, 253 nt
Filed under: uncultured bacterium
Lineage: Bacteria
Description: partial 16S ribosomal RNA
Rfam family: Bacterial small subunit ribosomal RNA
Source: RNAcentral